AUAACAAUGGAAGGCUGAUUUUGAAUUCAAAAUUGAAAAUGUCUAUGUGUCAAAAUGUGAAUCAUCAGAUUGCUUCAAUCCAAGGGCUAAAAAUGUCUCAUUCUCAUUUGUCCUACAAUGACAUUUCAAUGGUUGAGAUCAAUUACCAUCAACAUCUAAUGGUGCAAAAUGUAAAUCCCAAAAUAUCUCAAAAUGCAUCUCUCUCACACCUACUCCUCUCAUCUCAAAAUCUGUCUCUCCAUUCCAAAUUUCAAAAUUUGAACACAGACCCUCUCUCCCCUCUCUCUCUCUCUCUCUCUCUCUCUCUCUCUCCAAUUCUUUGUUUCCAUUUCUCACUCCGACCACUCCAACCAUUGUUCUCCUGCAGCUCGGUUGCCAUUGUUCACUCCGGCAGAUUGGUUUACUCUGACCGUCUAGCAUCGCAAGGUAGAGGCUUUGAAAUGUGCAUUAUCACUUGCAGCCUUGGUAAGAAUCUGGAGAAAUGAAGGCGUUACAGAUGAUAACAGGUUAAGUAUGACAUUGGAUGAAGUUAGUGUAUACCCCAUACCUGCAGCACUUUACCUCAUUAAAAAUUUGCUUCAGGUAAGUUGCAUUUCUUUUCUUUUUUUUCACAGGUGGCAGUGGCUUUGGCCUUCCUGAUUUCUUAAACAUGACUUUAUCUGGCAGUAUUACAUCUUUUCUUGUUUGUGUUUUUGUAUUUUCUUCUGUAUUUUGGUGCAUUGUUGCCAAUAAAAUCUCACAAAACCAUGCAAAGGGACUCAAGAUUCUGGGUUCAAAACAACACUUCAAGUUUUGCUUAAUGCUUCUUGAGGACUUUUCUAUAAAUUAGUUUAAGCAAUAUGAGAACUUUCUUUAAGGUAAUCCAAUGUCAACACUCAUUAACUUAGUUUAGAGUGCACAUUAUACAUAGAGGCAAAUUUAGAUAAACAAGACAAUAAGAUUGACAUAUUUUUAUAAGGAUAUUCAGGUGUUAAACCACCGAAGUAAUAAGAACUCAAUUGGUAGAAAAUUUAUAAAUUACUUGAGUAGUGUUAUUAUAUGAAUUAGUUUAACAAGUGUACAAUAGCUUUGAUUUUUUCUUAAUUGCAGAAUAGUAUUUCUUCCAUAAUGUUCACCAAUAUUACAAGUCAAAAUAGUGAAAUGUAGAGUAAAAACACAUAUAAAAGAAAUAUUAUAUAAAAAAACAUAUAAUGCAAAAUUUAGUAUCCAAAUGGGAAUCAACAGUGGUGGCGACAAAGUGGAACUGUGCUUUCCUUUCACUUUUUCCAGCAGGUUUCAAUAUUGUGUUUGUUACUCUAAAUCAGUAUUUGCAGAUAUAUACAAAUGUGUGUAUAUAUAUAUAUAUAUAUAUAUAUAUGUAAUUAUACAAUCGAUUUUAUUGAUGAAGGCACAAUCUUGAAUUUAUUUUUGUUGACUUUGGUCUUAAAGUAACUCCCAUAGUCCAUAUUGAAACACCUUCAGCCUUUUUCACAUAGUCCAUGUUUAGGAAUCUAUUAUGUUUUUCCUGUGUAUAAUACAAAUAUUACAAAUAGCCAAAUAAUUUUGAGAAAUAAAUAAAUUGAACCAACCUUAUCAACUAUGACAGUUGAUAGUGAUCACCUACGAAUCCUCCUUUUCCUUCUUUAACUCCAACGACACAAACCAAGUCAAAGAAAACAAUCUCAAAAGAAAGAAAAUAAAAUUGUAUGGGCAAAUUACACAUAUCUCA
Molecule: non-coding RNA, 1708 nt
Organism: Camellia sinensis
Lineage: Eukaryota; Viridiplantae; Streptophyta; Magnoliopsida; Ericales; Theaceae
Source: RefSeq, a predicted model, not a curated record